AGAGUUUGAUCCUGGCUCAGAUUGAACGCUGGCGGCAGGCCUAACACAUGCAAGUCGAGCGGUAGCACAGGGGAGCUUGCUCCCUGGGUGACGAGCGGCGGACGGGUGAGUAAUGUCUGGGAAACUGCCUGAUGGAGGGGGAUAACUACUGGAAACGGUAGCUAAUACCGCAUAACCUCGCAAGAGCAAAGAGGGGGACCUUCGGGCCUCUCGCCAUCAGAUGUGCCCAGAUGGGAUUAGCUAGUAGGUGAGGUAAUGGCUCACCUAGGCGACGAUCCCUAGCUGGUCUGAGAGGAUGACCAGCCACACUGGAACUGAGACACGGUCCAGACUCCUACGGGAGGCAGCAGUGGGGAAUAUUGCACAAUGGGCGCAAGCCUGAUGCAGCCAUGCCGCGUGUGUGAAGAAGGCCUUCGGGUUGUAAAGCACUUUCAGCGGGGAGGAAGGCGGUGAGGUUAAUAACCUCAUCGAUUGACGUUACCCGCAGAAGAAGCACCGGCUAACUCCGUGCCAGCAGCCGCGGUAAUACGGAGGGUGCAAGCGUUAAUCGGAAUGACUGGGCGUAAAGCGCACGCAGGCGGUCUGUUAAGUUGGAUGUGAAAUCCCCGGGCUUAACCUGGGAACUGCAUUCAAAACUGACAGGCUAGAGUCUUGUAGAGGGGGGUAGAAUUCCAGGUGUAGCGGUGAAAUGCGUAGAGAUCUGGAGGAAUACCGGUGGCGAAGGCGGCCCCCUGGACAAAGACUGACGCUCAGGUGCGAAAGCGUGGGGAGCAAACAGGAUUAGAUACCCUGGUAGUCCACGCUGUAAACGAUGUCGAUUUGGAGGUUGUGCCCUUGAGGCGUGGCUUCCGGAGCUAACGCGUUAAAUCGACCGCCUGGGGAGUACGGCCGCAAGGUUAAAACUCAAAUGAAUUGACGGGGGCCCGCACAAGCGGUGGAGCAUGUGGUUUAAUUCGAUGCAACGCGAAGAACCUUACCUACUCUUGACAUCCAGAGAACUUAGCAGAGAUGCUUUGGUGCCUUCGGGAACUCUGAGACAGGUGCUGCAUGGCUGUCGUCAGCUCGUGUUGUGAAAUGUUGGGUUAAGUCCCGCAACGAGCGCAACCCUUAUCCUUUGUUGCCAGCGAUUCGGUCGGGAACUCAAAGGAGACUGCCGGUGAUAAACCGGAGGAAGGUGGGGAUGACGUCAAGUCAUCAUGGCCCUUACGAGUAGGGCUACACACGUGCUACAAUGGCGUAUACAAAGAGAAGCGACCUCGCGAGAGCAAGCGGACCUCAUAAAGUACGUCGUAGUCCGGAUUGGAGUCUGCAACUCGACUCCAUGAAGUCGGAAUCGCUAGUAAUCGUAGAUCAGAAUGCUACGGUGAAUACGUUCCCGGGCCUUGUACACACCGCCCGUCACACCAUGGGAGUGGGUUGCAAAAGAAGUAGGUAGCUUAACCUUCGGGAGGGCGCUUACCACUUUGUGAUUCAUGACUGGGGUGAAGUCGUAACAAGGUAACCGUAGGGGAACCUGCGGUUGGAUCACCU
RNAcentral lists this ribosomal RNA (1530 nucleotides) under Pectobacterium brasiliense. Its description in RNAcentral is "bacterial SSU rRNA". It matches the Rfam family "Bacterial small subunit ribosomal RNA". Lineage: Bacteria; Pseudomonadati; Pseudomonadota; Gammaproteobacteria; Enterobacterales; Pectobacteriaceae. The record is from RNAcentral.